AGUUAUUUGUUUUGUAAACAAAAGAUUUUGAAAAUCUUUAAUAAAUGUUAAAUUCAUUUAAUAACU
Molecule: transfer RNA, 66 nt
Filed under: Theromyzon tessulatum
Lineage: Eukaryota; Metazoa; Annelida; Clitellata; Rhynchobdellida; Glossiphoniidae
Description: tRNA-Ser
Source: RNAcentral